Molecule: non-coding RNA, 361 nt
Organism: Meleagris gallopavo (turkey)
Lineage: Eukaryota; Metazoa; Chordata; Aves; Galliformes; Phasianidae
Source: RefSeq, a predicted model, not a curated record
UCCUAGGAACAUGAAAUCUGCCUUCUCUAUUUGUAACUCCUUCAAUUUCAGAUUUUCAAACAUUGUUUAGAUGCCUAUAACCUACUGGUUUCAAUGACAGAAGUUUACGACACUUUGGAUCACUUUUGUGGAUGCCAUGUUGAAUUUGGAUGGUUGUUUCAAACAAUUUUGGAGAACUCAUAUGAAGAGACAAGAAUUUCAGAAACAAAGUGCUAUAAGUGUUUUAUGAAAAUGGCUAUGAUGCGUCAGUUCUAAUUAAUACAUACUUACUAAAACUGGCAUGACUGCCUUCAUCUUCAUUGAAGCAACUGAGAAUAAAUCAGAUGAAAAGACAACAAAUAAAGAAGUUUUAAGCAGUUCA